Molecule: ribosomal RNA, 858 nt
Filed under: Saccharopolyspora sp. DST89
Lineage: Bacteria; Bacillati; Actinomycetota; Actinomycetes; Pseudonocardiales; Pseudonocardiaceae
Description: bacterial SSU rRNA
Rfam family: Bacterial small subunit ribosomal RNA
Source: RNAcentral
CGCUUCGGUGGUGGAUUAGUGGCGAACGGGUGAGUAACACGUGGGUAAUCUGCCCUGCACUCUGGGAUAAGCCUUGGAAACGGGGUCUAAUACCGGAUACGACACGUCACCGCAUGGUGUGCGUGUGGAAAGUUCCGGCGGUGCAGGAUGAGCCCGCGGCCUAUCAGCUUGUUGGUGGGGUAGUGGCCUACCAAGGCGACGACGGGUAGCCGGCCUGAGAGGGUGACCGGCCACACUGGGACUGAGACACGGCCCAGACUCCUACGGGAGGCAGCAGUGGGGAAUCUUGCGCAAUGGGCGAAAGCCUGACGCAGCAACGCCGCGUGGGGGAUGACGGCCUUCGGGUUGUAAACCUCUUUCGACAGGGACGAAGCUUUCGGGUGACGGUACCUGUAGAAGAAGCACCGGCUAACUACGUGCCAGCAGCCGCGGUAAUACGUAGGGUGCGAGCGUUGUCCGGAUUUAUUGGGCGUAAAGAGCUCGUAGGCGGUUUGUCGCGUCGGCCGUGAAAACCUGCAGCUUAACUGUGGGCGUGCGGUCGAUACGGGCAGACUUGAGUUCGGCAGGGGAGACUGGAAUUCCUGGUGUAGCGGUGAAAUGCGCAGAUAUCAGGAGGAACACCGGUGGCGAAGGCGGGUCUCUGGGCCGAUACUGACGCUGAGGAGCGAAAGCAUGGGGAGCGAACAGGAUUAGAUACCCUGGUAGUCCAUGCCGUAAACGUUGGGCGCUAGGUGUGGGGAUGGGUUCCACCGUUUCCGUGCCGUAGCUAACGCAUUAAGCGCCCCGCCUGGGGAGUACGGCCGCAAGGCUAAACUCAAAGGAAUUGACGGGGGCCCGCACAAGCGGCGGAGCAUGUGG